GCCAUCAUUGCCUUAGGACCUCAUGUGCAC
This 30-nucleotide non-coding RNA is filed under the name Homo sapiens (human). Lineage: Eukaryota; Metazoa; Chordata; Mammalia; Primates; Hominidae. The record is from RNAcentral.